UGGGAUGCAUAACUCAGUCUCAUGAAGGAUAUUUCAGAUCUUAAACUGCAGAGAAAAGCAGAAGGAGAGGAGAGGUUAGGACUACAGGCUCACAGGUGUAGGUGGAGGUAUAAAAGAAGCGUGACAAAAGCGCCGGAAUAUAAAAGACUCGCAUAAAUCUGCAGAAAAAAGGUUUAAUAACCACUGCUGGGCUCAUCUUAAAGAGAUAAAAUAGAGCAGUAAGGACAGAUGAUGCAGCCUUCCCACGCGUCGUAUAAAUUGACUUAUUGGAAUAACAAAAGUAGUGAGUGCUGAUGUUUUGAUUUGUUUCACAAAGACAGGUAAUAGCUGAGAAUAUUCACAGCGAGCAGGCAAAGUGAUGUUCACGAUGAGGCGAGUAUCUCUGAUUUAUUCUCUUUACUGCCAUCCAAGUCUGUUUUUUUAUCGUGUUUUUUCUGCUGCUGUGUUUGUACUGUGUUGCUCGAUUAGGUAAAAUAACCCCAUGACUGAUUGUUUCCAUGAAUACAAGUAUAUCCAGCCCCGCUACUCUAGCUGACUCUUUAUGUCGCAUUCCAAAACAAUCGACAAACAAGCUAGCAGGAGGGGAACUGCUUCCUGCCUAGGGCUGGGCGAUAUGUCCUCAAAUCAAUAUCAUGAUAUAUUGAGCAGUUCACUUCGAUAACGAUAAAUAGACGAUAACUACUCCACGAGCUGCUCACCCCCUCCCACAUUAACUUCGUCUACUUCAGCUGCUACAACUUUUGAACCGUCCUCCAUUUCCUCACCUGUCUUUCCCUCUUUGUUACGGACUAGAUGGGGUGGAGUCACGUCUCUGAUGUAGGACAGAGUCUUAAAAGGGACAUGAGACCAUAGCCUACCUACACACAUCCAAAAACAACUUUUAUAUAUGUAUUUUUUUUGACACCAAAUAUAUUGACAUGGGCAAAAUGACGUUGGUUAUUGUCGUAAAUUUGGGUAUCAGUAAAUUUUGGUUUAUCGCCCAGCCCUAGUACAAGUACAUCCAGCUCUGCUACCCUAACUAGUUAUUGUUGGACCUGCAUAUUGGCCUCAUACCAAAACAAUCGACAAACAAGCUAGCAGGAGGCGAACUGCUUCCUGCUCUGGUCCUGUAUGGCUGUAAAAGACAUCAUAAGUUUAUCUGUUAGAGCGGUUUCUGAACCUCCUCCAACUAAUCUAAGUGACAAAAACACAACAAUUUGUCCAACAGCUUAACAACGCAAACAAGCGCUCAUCCGGGUAUUUUGUAAAAAUGUUUGACAAAUUUUAGAUGAAUUAGUCAUCUACAUUUGCAUCCAAGCACAUCUUAGGUGAAGUAAUAAGCAUCAACUCCAGUAUAUAUCCAGUAUAUCCAGCUCUGCUACUCCUGCGAGUUAUUGUUGGACCUGCAUAUUGGCCUCAUACCAAAACAAUCGACAAACAAGCUAGCAGGAGGCGAACUGCUUCCUGCCUCCGGUCCUGUAUGACUUUAAAAGACAUCAGAAGUUUAUCUGUUAGAGCGGUUUCUGAACCUCUUUCCUUUGCCUUCUUUUCUGAAAUCUCAGAUUGAACUAAGUGACAAAAACACAAGAAGAGGAGAUAAAGAAAGCAAUCAAAAUAAGAAAAAAGCUUGAGUCCCCACGCUGUCAAAGCUCUGCAUCAAGAAAAUCGAUCACUCUGCUGGCGCUCUCCUCCUCUUGUCCCCGUUGAGCCGACAGCUGAUUGAUGCGAUGUCCUGCGGUCAUAGCCGGCCUCGUUCACUUGCAAACAUGAUCAAGCAGCACAGCAUCAUGUUACUUGAGGUUCUCUCGUGUUAAAUCAGACUCUUACCCUCUCUCUCUCCUCUGUCUUCUAACCUCACGACACCUCUGUCACACCUCCUAUUUUUAAGAGGAGGACGCCCUGAAUCGAACGAACCAGAAUGUCGACACGUCACUUUAUUCUGUCCCUGCACGUAAAAGCAGCGAGAUGCUAUCAUUCUCCUCCGGGGAUUUUCCUUUCAAGCUUCUGUUGCUCACUGUAAAUACUCGACUAUUUCUGCCGGCAACAAAGAAAAUCAGGAACACGUCAAUCAGCAGCAUACUGUCAUAGACUAAUCUCGCUCUCCAGCUGAAUAAUUCAUAGUCAAUUAGAGCUGAGAGGCUGAAGCUGUCUUCAUGGCACAAGUGCAUUUUCAAUGAUUCAUUUCAUGAGCUAUGCAAGGGGUCUCUUAAUUGUUGUUUACUGCUCGCUGCCUGACCACAUGUUAUUUUUAUGCCGUCGUGAUUACUCCCGGCAGCGCUUGGAGUGCUUGGGAAAUGAAGUCCAUUAAGGGGUCCUGAGAGUUGUUUCCCUGUCAAGCGCCAAGUAACGAUCCCAGGUUCAAACUUUGCUGCACGACAACAAUAAAUCUCGUCCAAUCUCAAGUGUCGGGAAAUGAGAUGUGAGGCAGGUGGUAGUUUUUGUGGUUCAAAUACCUGCAGUGCUGCAUGAAGAUUCAGUUUUAUAGUACUGCAGAGGGAAGUUAAGAUUACAGGAAACAAUGAUCAUUUGAAGGGAACAUAAAAAACUGCACAGUUGAGUCCCAGCAGAAAAAAAACAAAACAAAAACAGGUUGAUGGUGUCAGAAAAAAAGGGGGACAGACAUGUCUUCACUCUGAGACACAUUAGGUGUGUUUGUUUUGUUUGUUUGUGUGCGGCAAAGAGAAAAAGUGAGAAGACUGAGUGCCUGUGGUCACUGCUGUCCGCCGUGUGACAAACUGUAAAAGCACAGUCCGGUGACAGACGGCUCCUUUGACAGAAAUAGGCGGCAGGAUCUGAGAAUAGCACCGCUGCCCUCCAGUUGACACAGAGGGAUUUUUGUGGCACAUCGUACAUCAGCAAACCCAUCAACCUCCCCGGUCGUAAAAGUAUCACCUGCGACAUUUAAGCUACACCUGUGUGAGUUAGUCGCAUAUAAACAUGUAAAUCUGCUGAUUUUUGGAGGUGCAAAGAGUUGAGGAUUAACGCUGACAGACCACACUUGCUCUAAGAGUUGUUUUGAUUGUCUUUGUAUGGUUUAUCAGAUUGUCAAAUGUUACUGGAAUAUAUUAAAUAAAAUCACUUACAAUCUUAUUUGACCGAUGCUUAAAAGAGAGGAAGCAUUAGUGGUUAAAAGUAGGUGAAAAGAGUUAGAAUAUACUUUUUUUUAAAUAGGAAGAUCCGUCUCGUUGUGUCUUAAAAACAGGAAAUAUCUGAAUUUUGAUUGCCUAUAAAGUCGCAUCCUUUAUGAAAGACACAUCCUGAUUAUGAGGGGUCAGGAGUACAUGUGUAGAAGUGAUCCAUUUCUACUUUCACCUUUGCUGUUCAUGCAUUUCUACUUUUGACAAUGAUGUAGGUGGCAUGUAGAAGAACCUGUCAACUCCACAUCAGGCAUGACAAAACCUCAACUUUGUUCCCUUUGCACAACGCUCAGGACUGCAGUCCCACCGCAUGAGCGCAGAUACUUGCCAGAGAUUCAUCAUCUGCACAGAGGAUUAAGAAAUUAGCCUGCAGUGGAUCAGGGUAGGGAUGGGUGAUAUGGGCUAAAAAAAUUAUCAUGAUAUGAUAUUUUCAUGAUAACGAUAAAAGUCCAGAUAAAAAUAUUAUAAUUCCAAUCUAUAUUUUUGACUCAUUCUGUCUUGAGAAUACCAGUUGGAAUAGUCAAAUAAGAUACUUAACCACAAGUUUGAGUGGUAGGUUAUGGAGAAAACUAAUGACAUCAAACAAAUCUGACACGUGAAAAUAUUUCCAACAUUUGUUGAAAACUCUUACUGCACAGAGUGAACAGCAGCAGAUCCACUGUCUGAUGUCAGGUAUACCUGAUUGUACUCAUCUAAGCCCCAAUCUUGAAGGAAAUCCCUCAUGUUGAGCCUCGUUCAUUAACAAGCUGUUCAGAAACGUCCUCUUCACCACCUUCAGCCAUGUUUGUUGUCGUUGCUCGCACUUACGUCAUCAACUUGCAUUUUUCAUAUUUAUCAUGAGAUGGCAAAUAUUAAUCAUGAAGGAUUUUUCUGAUGUUAUAUCGUGAACAAUGAUUUAUCGCCCAUCCCUAGAUCAGGAACAUUAAAACAGUUUUUUGUCCCUUUAUGUUCAACACAAUCAAUAAAAAGUUCUCAAACGGCGAGGUUGCCAAACUGAUCGAUUUUUUUGCAUGUAGUCAUCUUGAAAGAAAUAAAAGAAAUGUGUGUUAAAAAACAUAUUAGCAAGUGUCACCAGUUUGUGAUGAUUAACUGCUAGAGAUGCACCGAUCCAUUUUUUUCUGAUCCAAUACGAUACCGAUACCUGGGCUGAGAGUAUCACCCAAUAUCCGAAACCGAUUCAAUACAACUGUUGAAUGAAUGAACUGUACACCUUGCCCUGUGAGUGAAGGCUUCAGGUUUUGACAUUAGCGUUGUAGAAAAUUGACACAGAUACAAAUCUACUUAAAAUUAUUAAUUACAAAUAACAAAUUUCACAUUAGCACACAGCAAAAAGAAGUAAGACUUACAUGUAUUAAAAGAAACAUUAAUUGAAAGAAAAAAAGACUGGAACGGAACGCUGGAUCGGCGUCAUCCAUCAGACAUCUGAUCCGGUUAAUUUGUCAAUAUUGGAGCUGAUAUCCGAUCCAAAUAUCGGAUCGGUGCAUCCCUAUUAAAUGCGUCUGAUUAAUGCAGCUAACACUGUAGAACAAACUCAAAUAUGUAGCAUCUCUUUUCUCUAUUUUCCAUUCAUACUCAUGCUGUUGCUGAUGCGAUCUAAGGUUGGGUAUAAUAACUGUAAAACAUGCUGUCUGAUUGAUCUACUCUCAGAUAUUUCUCAAUCGGAGUAGCCGCUUUAAAGUGUUGUUAUGGGAAUAUCUCCUCUUGCACUCUGUGUAUUUCCUCUGGGAGUACGGAGGAAACACUCGAGCAAAUUCUCCACUAGAUUAAAAACUUCAACUAUCUUAACAUUCCUCCAGCGUGACUCCUUUUAUUCUAUACAUACCGCACAAACGCAUAAGCCGGCCCUCAUUUACUCAUGGGAUUGUUUUGCUUCUACGAUAAUUCCUGAUAAGUGAAGUAAGACUCCGCACAAUCCUGGCAGGAACGCGUUUCCAUGAGACUCUCCCUGGACGGGGGGACGCUUGCACCUUCUUUCCAGUGAACUCAUUCAUUUGACAGUAAUUGAGUUCAACAGCUCAAAAAGUAACAGCAACAACAAAGAGGCUACGAGUGUGUGUGUUUGUGUCUGUAUUUGCUUUGAGGGGGAGAAACGAAGGCAGCGCGUACUCACUUUGUUGUGGCCUCUGUGGUAUUUUCUAGUGAUUGAUUGCAGAUCUCAUUACCACUUGUUUGUGUUCAGCUCUGUUGACACCUGUUAUGUGACAGAGGUGAGUCUGAGCUUCUGUCAGUUUGGGUUGAAUUGCCAGAGGCUUCCCCGUGUGUGUGUUUGUGUGUGUGUUUACACUCUCCUUGCAGUUUUGAUUGCAUAACACACAGACACACCAGACAGUAUGAAAAAGUUUUCUCCCUGCUGCUCGUCUGUUGUGGACUCUGAUGUCAGUCUAAGCCUUCAGGAAGCCUCUGUUUGCAUUUCAUUACGGGCUAUGCUGCAGGGAAGCGCCUUUUAUUAAUGCACUUACGGCAACAGCUGACCCAGCAAGCUGUGGGAGUGGAGAUUGAGCGGUGUCAUUACGAGCGAGCACAGUUUACUUUGGAGGAAUUUGCAUGUUUGUUUUUUUCUCUGUAUUUCGAUAAAGCCUGACUAGGUGUGGUCAUUGAUGGGAAUUUGCAAAACAAGCAGUUGCAUCUGCAUUGUGUAAACACCCUAAUCCUGAUGCUUCAAAUGAAACCCUUUAUAUUCUGCAAACAGACACUUCAAUUCAGCUGCUGGAGUUUUGAAAGUAAAAUGUUGUCGUAAUUUUGUCUGAAUUUGCUCGAAGUUGCAAGGUCUCGUAUUCGGACUCUUUUUGUACUUGGCUGUGCAGAUGUUAAACAUGCAGAAUAUGGUUUAGUGUUGACAUGCUGCAGUUUUCAAGGCCUCCCCCUGAAAAAGGCCCUUUCUCAACAGCAGUUUUGCUCAGGAACUUACCUAUCAUCCAUGUCGUGUAGCUUUUAUUGUUCCUUCCUCUGAAUUAAAGUGCCGUCUUCCGUUGUUUCUGAAUCGUGUUUACAUGUGGUUUCCUUUUUGCAUUGUGCGGUUUUUAAACACAUGGUUCUCACCAGGUACAGGGAGGAAGAAGGGCUUUAGCCAUCAGGUGUUUUCAUAAAUGAUUUAUGUUCUUGUUUAUUUACUCUAUUUAUUGUAAAUUUAAUGUAAAAAUGUUGAAGAGACUGACUGUUAAUUGAGUAUUGGAGAAGGGGUAUAAGUUUAAAUAAGCGUAAUGCUUCAUCCGACUCCUUUUGGGCAUGUUGGGUUCUCAUUACAGGGCUUGGCACUAACUUUUUUCACACAUGCUCCCAAGAUGAAAAAGUAAGGAGCACUCAAAGAACUUUAGGGGCACAAUGAAAAUUGAUCAAAUAAUGUGUGUCUUAAUGGUCGGCAUAAGUCAGCACUAUUAUUUGAAAUCAAUUUUAGUUCUUUUGGUCACAUGACAUGGAAGAUAUUGAAGGAAAUGUUCAAAAUUUCCCUUUAAGUUUAACACAAAAUUUUUUUAGAGGACAGAUUAGGGAAAUAAAGAGGCGUGUCUUAUUGUCUGACCUUAUUAAUAUUAUUUGAAAUCAAUUUUAGUUCUUUUGGUCACAUGACAUAAAAGCUAUUGGAGGAAAACAGCCUUUUUUGUGAACAUUAACCAGUAAUUUACUGGUGGUCCCUUAUUCCUGGUUAUGGAGAGUGAGAAGUCAUCGGUAGAUCCGCGGUGAAUGUCCAUCAGAUAUCCAACCAAAAACUAACUUCACUGCAGUAUUUACAUGAAAAAACAUUCGUUGCCUUGACUGAUUUUUUUUAAGCGCACAUGUGCCCCUAAAUAUAUUUUACAAUUCACACACAUCGAAUUUUAGUCGCAAAUGUGAGUGAAACGGUCGCACUGUCAAGCCCUACAUUAUUUUUAAUAGUAUUUUUUUUUGUUUUGAUUGUUGUCAUUGUUGUUUUGAAUAUUCGCAUUUGUUGUGUUUGUUUGUUUGUUUCAGUUUACUUUCUUGUGUUGCACUCACGUUUGAAUAAAAUAAAAUGUUUUUGUUUGUUUUAUUAUCUUGAAUUUUACGUACUAUGUAAAGCGUCUUUGAGUGUUUUUAAAAGUGCUGUACAAAUAAAAUGAAUUAUUAUUAUUAUUAUUAUUAUUAUUAAUAAAAUAAAAUAAAAAAUAAAAAUAAUAAAUAAAUAAAAUACAGUCGUGGAUGCGCAGUGGUUUCCACAACAGAGCCACGUAUGUUUUUUUUUUUUUUUUAUCAAGUUCCACCUGAAGCUCUAAACCUUACUGCUUUUCAGCCUCGUCUCGUCUGUACAGAGAAUUCCCCAGAUCUUUUAUUAAUAUGACACUAGAUGUGUGUACUGUGAAUGUCAACAUGAAGACUUUUUUUCACUGGUUGUGUCUGGUAGCUUCGCCUUUAUAACCACGAAGCUGACAGCUGUGCAUUCACAUUAAAGACUUAUAUAAGCCUGCAUUGAUAAAUAUUUAAUUUAAUCAAACGAGAUAUUUGAGAAGGGUAAGUGUUCAUUAAAAAGCACGCUGAAUCAGGUGAGCGGCUAGUUUUUUAUCCACUGUUGAUCGUACCUGAUUUGGUUAGGGAUUCAAAAUAUUGAGGCACACGGGAGUUAAAACGUACAGCAUUAACCAUCAGCAAAGAUUUAAAUAUAUGCAUUAAGUGAAGCUGUUUGUUUUUAUGGAGAUAAGCACUUAUUCCCAAUCCCUCAUGCAA
This 7790-nucleotide long non-coding RNA is filed under the name Xyrichtys novacula (pearly razorfish). Lineage: Eukaryota; Metazoa; Chordata; Actinopteri; Labriformes; Labridae. The record is from RNAcentral.